Small nuclear RNA from Symphalangus syndactylus (siamang), 107 nucleotides. Lineage: Eukaryota; Metazoa; Chordata; Mammalia; Primates; Hylobatidae. The record is from RefSeq and is a predicted model, not a curated record.
GUGCUCGCUUUGGCAGCACAUAUGCUAAAAUUGGAACAAUACAGAAAAGAUUAGCAUGGCCCCUGCGCAAGAAUGACAUGCAAAGUCAUGAAGCAUUCCAUUUUUUU